CGGAGCCCCCCGCUGCUGGCGGCCACAGGGCGGCUGGACCAGGAGGUCGGUGUCCAGCCCAGGAAGGGAGCCUCAGGCUAGGGAGGGGCAGAGGCUAGGCCUGAGGCCUGGACCGCUCUGUGAGCGAGGACCCGGUUCCGCCCGAAGGAUGAAGACUUGUCUUUAAAGAUGACAACGUACAGGAAAGGUCCCAGGUUGCCCAUGUCCAGGAAAAGAUGGAUCCCCCUAUCCAAAUCUUCUCCGUGGUGUGUGUGGGUGGAGGAGUGGACCCUGGUCCAGGCAGGGGCUCCAGGGAAGAGAAGGCGUCACUUCCGGGGGCCUUCACCAGUGUCUGG
RNAcentral lists this long non-coding RNA (335 nucleotides) under Homo sapiens (human). RNAcentral's name for it is "non-protein coding lnc-CLCN2-8:1". Lineage: Eukaryota; Metazoa; Chordata; Mammalia; Primates; Hominidae. The record is from RNAcentral.